CACGUAGUUAGCCGUGGCUUUCUGAUUAGGUACCGUCAAGAUGUGCACAGUUACUUACACAUUUGUUCUUCCCUAAUAACGGGAGAGUUUUACGAGCCGAAACCCUUCAUCACUCACGCGGCGUUGCUCCGUCAGGCUUUCGCCCAUUGCGGAAGAUUCCCUACUGCUGCCUCCCGUAGGAGUCUGGACCGUGUCUCAGUUCCAGUGUGGCCGAUCACCCUCUCAGGUCGGCUACGUAUCGUCGCCUUGGUAAGCCGUUACCUUACCAACUAGCUAAUACGGCGCGGGUCCAUCUAUAAGUGAUAGCAAAACCAUCUUUCACUUUAGAACCAUGCGGUUACUAAAUGUUAUCCGGUAUUAGCUUCCGGUUUCCCGAAGUUACUCCCAGUUCUUAUAGGUACGGUUACCCAGGUUCGUUACGUCCACCCGGUCCGCCGUCUUAAACCUUCAAAGGAGCAAGCUUCCUUAUCUGUUCGCUCGACUUGCUAUGUUAUU
This 495-nucleotide ribosomal RNA is filed under the name uncultured Staphylococcus sp. Its description in RNAcentral is "partial 16S ribosomal RNA". Lineage: Bacteria; Bacillati; Bacillota; Bacilli; Caryophanales; Staphylococcaceae. The record is from RNAcentral.